Molecule: ribosomal RNA, 440 nt
Filed under: uncultured bacterium
Lineage: Bacteria
Description: partial 16S ribosomal RNA
Rfam family: Bacterial small subunit ribosomal RNA
Source: RNAcentral
CCUACGGGAGGCAGCAGUGGGGAAUAUUGCACAAUGGGGGAAACCCUGAUGCAGCGACGCCGCGUGAGCGAUGAAGUCUUUCGGUAUGUAAAGCUCUAUCAGCAGGGAAGAAAGUGACGGUACCUCAGGACUAAGCCACGGCUCACUACGUGCCAGCAGCCGCGGUCAUACGUCGGUGGCAAGCGUUAUCCGGAUUUAUUGGGUGUAAAGGGCGUGUAGGCGGGAAAGCAAGUCAGAUGGGAAAACUCAGGGCUCAACCCUGAGCCUGCAUUUGAAACUGUUUUUCUUGAGUGCUGGAGAGGCAAGCGGAAUGCGGGGUGUAGCGGUGAAAUGCAUAGAUAUACGGAGGAACACCAGUGGCGAAGGCGGCCUGCUGGACGAUGACUGACGUUGAGGCUCGAAAGCGUGGGGAGCAAACAGGAUUAGAUACCCGAGUAGUC